This 82-nucleotide transfer RNA is filed under the name Ixodes scapularis (black-legged tick). It matches the Rfam family "tRNA". From Rfam's summary of the family: Transfer RNA (tRNA) molecules are approximately 80 nucleotides in length. Their secondary structure includes four short double-helical elements and three loops (D, anti-codon, and T loops). Lineage: Eukaryota; Metazoa; Arthropoda; Arachnida; Ixodida; Ixodidae. The record is from Rfam by way of RNAcentral.
GCAGUCGUGGCCGAGUGGUUAAGGCGAUGGACUAGAAAUUCAUCGGGGUCUCCCCGCACAGGUUCGAAUCCUGUCGACUGCG